This 538-nucleotide ribosomal RNA is filed under the name Coscinoderma lanuga. RNAcentral's name for it is "eukaryotic LSU rRNA". It matches the Rfam family "Eukaryotic large subunit ribosomal RNA", at positions 705 to 1218 of the family's 3401-position model. Lineage: Eukaryota; Metazoa; Porifera; Demospongiae; Dictyoceratida; Spongiidae. The record is from RNAcentral.
AACCAGAAGGCGCAAUGAAAGUGAAGGCACGGCCGCCGUGCUGAGGUGAGAGCUGUCGACGGCAGCACAUCAUCGACCGAUCCCAUUCACACCUCCGGGUGUGGCAGGAUUCGAGUAAGAGUGUACCUGUUGCGACCCGAAAGAUGGUGAACUAUGCCUGAAUAGGGUGAAGCCAGAGGAAACUCUGGUGGAGGCCCGUAGCGAUUCUGACGUGCAAAUCGAUCGUCAAAUUUGGGUAUAGGGGCGAAAGACUAAUCGAACCAUCUAGUAGCUGGUUCCCUCCGAAGUUUCCCUCAGGAUAGCUGUAGCCCGAAGCAGUUUUAUCAGGUAAAGCGAAUGAUUAGAGGUAUCGGGGAAGAAACUUCCUCGACCUAUUCUCAAACUUUAAAUAGGUAAGAAGUCCGACUUGCUCAAUUUGAAGCCGGACAUAGAAUGCUGGGUUACUAGUGGGCCAUUUUUGGUAAGCAGAACUGGCGAUGCGGGAUGAACCGAACGCCGAGUUAAGGUGCCAAAGUCGACGCUCAUCAGAUCCCACAAA